RNAcentral lists this ribosomal RNA (225 nucleotides) under uncultured bacterium. RNAcentral's name for it is "partial 16S ribosomal RNA". It matches the Rfam family "Bacterial small subunit ribosomal RNA", at positions 794 to 1018 of the family's 1533-position model. The record is from RNAcentral.
UCCACGCCCUAAACGAUGAACACUAGUCGUCGGGAUGCUAGUCAUCUCGGUGAUGCACUUAACAGAUUAAGUGUUCCGCCUGGGGAGUGCGGUCGCAAGAUUAAAACUCAAAGGAAUAGACGGGGACCCGCACAAGUGGUGGAGCAUGUGGUUUAAUUCGAUACAACGCGAAGAACCUUACCACCCCUUGACAUCCAGAGAAUCUGUUAGAGAUAAUUGAGAGCC